AUACGUAGGGGGCAAGCGUUAUCCGGAAUUAUUGGGCGUAAAGAGUGCGUAGGUGGUUUUGUAAGCGCGGGGUGAAAGGCUAUGGCUCAACCAUAGUAAGCCUUGCGAACUGUAAGACUUGAGUGCAGGAGAGGAAAGUGGAAUUCCUAGUGUAGCGGUGAAAUGCGUAGAUAUUAGGAGGAACACCAGUGGCGAAGGCGACUUUCUGGACUGUAACUGACACUGAGGCACGAAGGCGUGGGGAGC
Molecule: ribosomal RNA, 246 nt
Filed under: uncultured bacterium
Lineage: Bacteria
Description: partial 16S ribosomal RNA
Rfam family: Bacterial small subunit ribosomal RNA
Source: RNAcentral